UCGAUAUCUUAAGAGGGGGAGGAGGGGAAGAUGGGAGGCAAAGAGGAAACCGGAGUCUCGGAGAAAAAGGCUGUUGCUGGCUCGUACUGUCGUUCGAGCAUGUGCACGUCCUCCAAGCUUCGCUCCCUCUCUCUUGUCGACCUUUCCUUUUCUUUCACACACACACCUGUGCACCCACCGUAGGCUUUCGCAAGGAAGUCUAUGUUUUUUCACAUCACAACCCGUCGUAUGUCCAGAAGGUAUAUGUCAAACGCGAAAAAACCCCCCUUCGCCUCGCAAGAGGAGAGAAGGAGGGGCAUCGUCGAUGACACAGAAACAUAUACAACUUUCAGCAACGGAUCUCUUGGCUCUCGCAUCGAUGAAGAACGCAGCGAAUUGCGAUAAGUAAUGUGAAUUGCAGAUUUCCAGUGAAUCAUCGAAUCUUUGAACGCACCUUGCGCUCCUUGGUAUUCCGAGGAGCAUGCCUGUUUGAGUGUCAUCAAAUUCUCAAUCAUGUCCUGCGUGCAAACAAUGGACGUGACUUGGAGUUGGGAGUCGCUGGCUGUCCAUGCAGGGCGGUCAGCUCUCCUCAAACGCAUUAGCGAACGCUGUCUUGGUCUGAAAGACGUGCACGGCCUUUGACGUGAUAACGAUCGUCAUCGCUGGAGCGUCUUACUUUGGGGGGACCAUGUAUGCCAACGAUCGCUUUGAACCAGAACAACGAGGGCUUUCUGCCGGUCUGAAGCGAAGCAGAGUCAAGCUUAGCUACUAGCUUGCUUUCGAGCGAGCGAACGCGGCGAGACCGAGGCUUUCCAGUCCGAAAGAGGCUCUCAUUAGAAAUGGACGAACACGCGAAGGACCCAAGGGCGAAGACGUAGGGGUAGACCUUCGACAGACUGCCAGUCUAGGACGGACGAAGGCGAAGCCUAGCUACUAGCUUGCGAGAGCGAGCGAACGCGGGGACAAGACUUGGUCACAGAUCAGACCGGCGGUUCGGAGGUCGCUCGAAGUCAGAGUUCUACGUCCAGAGCGUGACGUCGAAAGGUGACUCAAU
RNAcentral lists this small RNA (1033 nucleotides) under uncultured Boletellus. Its description in RNAcentral is "eukaryotic LSU rRNA". The stretch from base 324 to 478 matches the Rfam family "5.8S ribosomal RNA". Lineage: Eukaryota; Fungi; Basidiomycota; Agaricomycetes; Boletales; Boletaceae. The record is from RNAcentral.